This 253-nucleotide ribosomal RNA is filed under the name uncultured bacterium. RNAcentral's name for it is "partial 16S ribosomal RNA". It matches the Rfam family "Bacterial small subunit ribosomal RNA", at positions 524 to 776 of the family's 1533-position model. The record is from RNAcentral.
UACGUAGGGUGCAAGCGUUGUCCGGAAUUAUUGGGCGUAAAGAGCGCGUAGGCGGUCCGGUAAGUCGGCUGUGAAAGUCAAGGGCUCAACCCUUGAAAGCCGGCCGAUACUGUCGGACUAGAGUCCGGAAGAGGCGAGUGGAAUUCCCGGUGUAGCGGUGAAAUGCGCAGAUAUCGGGAGGAACACCAAUGGCGAAGGCAGCUCGCUGGGACGGUACUGACGCUGAGACGCGAAAGCGUGGGGAGCGAACAGG